This 498-nucleotide ribosomal RNA is filed under the name uncultured bacterium. RNAcentral describes it as "partial 16S ribosomal RNA". It matches the Rfam family "Bacterial small subunit ribosomal RNA", at positions 28 to 508 of the family's 1533-position model. The record is from RNAcentral.
GACGAACGCUGGCGGCGUGCCUAAUACAUGCAAGUUGAGCGCUGAAGGUUGGUACUUGUACCAACUGGAUGAGCAGCGAACGGGUGAGUAACGCGUGGGGAAUCUGCCUUUGAGCGGGGGACAACAUUUGGAAACGAAUGCUAAUACCGCAUAAAAACUUUAAACACAAGGUUUAAGUUUGAAAGAUGCAAUUGCAUCACUCAAAGAUGAUCCCGCGUUGUAUUAGCUAGUUGGUGAGGUAAAGGCUCACCAAGGCGAUGAUACAUAGCCGACCUGAGAGGGUGAUCGGCCACAUUGGGACUGAGACACGGCCCAAACUCCUACGGGAGGCAGCAGUAGGGAAUCUUCGGCAAUGGACGAAAGUCUGACCGAGCAACGCCGCGUGAGUGAAGAAGGUUUUCGGAUCGUAAAACUCUGUUGGUAGAGAAGAACGUUGGUGAGAGUGGAAAGCUCAUCAAGUGACGGUAACUACCCAGAAAGGGACGGCUAACUACGUGC